GAACGCACCUUGCGCUCCCUAGUAUUCUGGGGAGCAUGUCUGUUUGAGUGUCAUGAACUCUUCAACCCACUGGUUUCUUGUAGACUAGCUGGUGUUUGGAUUUUGAACGUUGCUGGUCUUCGGACGUAGCUCGUUCGUAAUACAUUAGCAUCUCUAAUUCGAAUUCGGAUUGACUCAGUGUAAUAGACUAUUCGCUGAGGACACUUUUAUUAGUGGCCGAACAAGAUAAUUGUAGAAGCUUCAAACCUCUAUAGUCAAUUUUAGAUUAGACCUCAGAUCAGGCAGGAUUACCCGCUGAACUUA
This 303-nucleotide unclassified non-coding RNA is filed under the name uncultured Leucosporidiales. RNAcentral describes it as "sequence contains 5.8S rRNA gene". The stretch from base 1 to 53 matches the Rfam family "5.8S ribosomal RNA", at positions 102 to 154 of the family's 154-position model. The record is from RNAcentral. Lineage: Eukaryota; Fungi; Basidiomycota; Microbotryomycetes; Leucosporidiales.